This 2040-nucleotide long non-coding RNA is filed under the name Sus scrofa (pig). Its description in RNAcentral is "lncRNA (ENSSSCG00070018024.1)". Lineage: Eukaryota; Metazoa; Chordata; Mammalia; Artiodactyla; Suidae. The record is from RNAcentral.
CUAAUCUUUGCUGCUCAGCAAUUCGGAGAGGAGAGUCCAUUGUCUCUCUGGGUUGUAUGAGACAGGGGCGCUGGGAGGGUGGCAGGAGGAAGUGGAGAAGGAAGAAGCAGAGGCUGCAUGGAGAGAUGAUGAGGACCGGGCUGAGCAGGGGGAACCCCGCCCACGCCGUCCACUUGCUGCAAUCAGAGUGGGAUGACAGAAGGUCAUCGGGUGGGAGGGCUCGAGAGGGCCUCACAGCCAUUAGUAAUACUGUUUAGGGGCUUUCCCAAGAUGCUUUGGAAAAACACAUCCAGGCUUGAUGGUCAUCUGUCCGGAGAAGCAGAUCUACUUGAAGAGCCUGGAACAGAAGGAGAUGCAGAAUCUGGGGUGUCUCCAAGUAAGAAGUGCCUGCAAGUUUCCUAAGACCCACUUCUUGGAAGUCAGCCCAGAAGCCACCCCUCUAAGCCCCUCCCUCAGCCCUGAGAAGAUGGGCCAGUAGCCUUGGCUCAGAGGGCCAUCUUCUGGGGUUGAGAGUCACCUGCCUGGAUGGAAAUCUCAGCUCAGCUCUGCGACCAACGUUACUGAAGUCCUCCAUGCCUUGGUGUCCAAGGUCCAUUGGUAAAACUGGGAAUAAUGAUGCUAUCCCCUCAGGCACUAUGAUGAGAUUGAAUGAGGUGACUCAAGCCACGUGUUUGGCUCCCUGUGUGGAAUGGGAACAGGUCAAGUGCCCACAAAAAGAUGGUCAUUUCUCCCUCUUUCUUCCCCAACAAAUAAUGAUUGAGUUAUGGACCUCAAAGACAGACGGGAAGGAGCUUGUUCCUGGUCCCACAGUCCCUGACUGCGCCUCCAGUUGGCAGCUGAAACCCUUCACCACCAUAGAGGGUAUUAGAAAUACAGGGGACGUAGGGAGAGAAAGGCUAAGAAAGAGAGGGGAAAAUGGACAAGCGGAUCCUAAAAUUCAGGUGGAAAUGCAAGGAGCUCAGAAGAGCCAACCUAAUCUAGAAAGAGAAACACAAAUUUGGAGGAACACUUCCGGAUUUCGAAACUUAACUGCACGCUAAAGUCAUCAAGUCAAGUCGGUACUGGCAUAAAGAGACACAGAGGUUAUGGAACAGAGUUGAGAGUCCAGAGAGAAACCCUUCCCUAUAUUUACCGUCAGUUGAGUUUUGGCAAGAGGGCCGAGUCUGUUCAAUGGGAAAGAACAGUCUUUUCAACAGCUGGUGCCGGGACAACUGGCUUUCCACAGGCAAGUAAAAGAAAGUGACCCCUACUUCAUACCACACACAAAAUCCAAUCAUUAUGGAGCGAAAAUCAAAAUGGGAGCGCUAACACCCUAAAACUCUUAGAAGAAAACAUAGCUGUACGUCUUCACAGCCUUGGAUUAAAUCACACUUUCCUGGCUCUGACAUCAAAAGCCCAAGCACGCAAAGAAAAAGUAGGCAAGGUGGGCUUCUUUAAAAGUAAAAACUUGUGUGAAUUGAAGCACCCCAUCAGAAAAUGGAAAGGCAACGCACGUAAUGGGAGCAUGUAUUUGGAAGGCAUCUGAUAACUCGAGCAUCCAGAAUAUAUAAACAAGCCCACAAUACCAAGGUAAGUAACCCAAGUUAAACUAAGCAAAGAAUUGCACUAGACAUUUCUCCAAAGAAGAUGUACACAUGGCCGUAAGCACAUGAAAAGAUGCUCAGUAUCCUUCUCAACAGGGAAAUGUCAAUCAAAACCACAAGGAAGUUAUCACUCCCACUCCGUAGGAUGGCUCUGAAAGAAAACAACAGAAAACAGAAAGUGUUGGCAGGGAAACGGAGUCCUUCCUACACCGCUGAUGGGAAGGCAGGAUGGUAUCACCACAAUGGAAAAGUUUGGCAGUUCCUCAAAACUUUCAACACAGAGUUGUAAUGUGGCCUGAUCAUUUCAUUCUCAGGUACACACCCUAGGAAACUAAAAACACACAUUCACGCAAAAAAACGUGCAUGUGAAUGUUCCUAGCAGCCUUAUUCACAGUAGCCUCCAAAGUGGAAACAACCUGAUGCGCAUCAACUAGUGAACAGAUAAACACAGGGGAUC